This 301-nucleotide ribosomal RNA is filed under the name uncultured bacterium. RNAcentral describes it as "partial 16S ribosomal RNA". It matches the Rfam family "Bacterial small subunit ribosomal RNA", at positions 509 to 807 of the family's 1533-position model. The record is from RNAcentral.
CAGCAUCCGCGGUAAUACGAAGGGUGCAAGCGUUAAUCGGAAUUACUGGGCGUAAAGCGUGCGUAGGCGGUUUGUUAAGUCUGCUGUGAAAUCCCCGGGCUCAACCUGGGAAUGGCAGUGGAUACUGGCAAGCUAGAAUGUGUCAGGGGAUGGUGGAAUUCCCGGUGUAGCGGUGAAAUGCGUAGAGAUCGGGAGGAAUACCGGUGGCGAAGGCGGCCCCCUGGACAAAGACUGACGCUCAGGUGCGAAAGCGUGGGGAGCAAACAGGAUUAGAUACCCCUGUAGUCCCUGUCUCUUAUAC